This 148-nucleotide unclassified non-coding RNA is filed under the name soil metagenome. RNAcentral's name for it is "partial internal transcribed spacer 1". The record is from RNAcentral.
CCGAGUUUACAACUCCCAAACCCCUGCGAACAUACCUUAUGUUGCCUCGGCGGAUCAGCCCGCGCCCCGUAAAAAGGGACGGCCCGCCGCAGGAACCCUAAACUCUGUUUUUAGCUGGAACUUCUGAGUAUAAAAAACAAAUAAAUCA